GCGGGUUCAAGGAAACCCCUUAUUCGCUGGAUCGGGAUGACUCAGAGAGACGGGGUCAUGGCCUAUGGCUGAGUGAUUACACGACGGUGUAAUGUGGCAGUUACCCGAAGGACUGUGGGCUGUUGCACGGUGACCCGAAGGACAGUGGGCCGCGGUGGUUGAAAGUUCCUUCUUCUGGCCUUUGUGGUAGGGAGAUAGGAUAGUGAGAGGUUGAAUUGUGUUGUUAGGUGAACCUCUCGCUUUAGAUUGUUUGGGGUGGGAUAGUGAGAGGUUGUAUUUGUUAGAUGGGGAUCAUAAUUCACUGAGUAACAUUAGGUUAUUCAUCCAACUCCGUUGUCCUUUUUGCAGGUCACUUUAGGUAAGGAUGAUCGGAUAGCUUGGUGCUGGACGUUAGGACCGCCGGUGUAGAUUUUCAUGCCUUUUGUAAACGGUAUUGAGUUAUGUGUUUUGUUGGCUCGAUUUGGCAUUAGGCCGAGCCCAGUCUCGAAUUAUUCAAUGUAUGGAUAUUUCUCGAAUCAAUAAAGUAAAUGUUUUAUAUGCGCUUCAUGAGUAGUCUGAUAUUUGACUAGUCGUGUCUAACACAACGUUAGGUCGUAGUACGGGUUGAAAAGCCUUAGGCCUCGAUCUAAUGGAAAACGCUAACUCUUGGCCGGGUCGCAAAGCCUUGUGCCUUGACGCAGCAGGACGAGUUAGUGGAUCAACUGGUCGAGGUCGUGAAGUAAAUUUUGUGACUCUGACUGGAUUGUCCCUAGCCUGUCACGUAGCGCUUCCAAACCAUGGUGUUGGGUUGGACGGCCGGUCAUGUUCUUGUUUGAUUGUUGGCCGGUGGGUAGACCUAUGCUUAGGACGGUUCGGGGGUGUUACAGAGGUGGUAUCAGAGCAUGGUUUCAUCCAUGCUUCCAGAACUCAUCAUUUAAUCGGUUUUUGAAUUUUUUUAUCGAGUCAUAAUGAGUCACAAAAGGCAUUAGGGAAACCGGUCACGUCCAGCGAUAGGAUUUGUGGUUUUAGGAAUUAGGAUUGAGAUAGUUGAAUCUAGAACUGUUAGGUUGCUGGUUAGCAUUGCUACGUUGUUUGGUUAGAAUUGCGGUUAGGUUGUUGUUAGAUUUGUGGGUUAGUAGAUUAUUUGGUUGGUUGUCUGCUAACUUGCAUGUGAGGUGUUCUUUUGAGUUGCAGCGAGUAACUGUGUUCGUUGAUCGAAACUUUAAGGGAUGAAAACCCAAACCCAAAGUGAAAGAGGAGAGACGGUUUCAGAGGGACUGGACAGUGGUAUGGACGGGACAGAUGGGAGGAAACAAGACUUCGUUGGGAAAGGACUUCAUCAGUAGUUGGGGAAAAGAAGAUCGAGAAGUAUUUGAGGAAUCUGGACAAGUUUGUAUCAUGGGGAAUCAGAGUUUUAUGGCAGAGCAACAGUAAGAGAUGAUCCAGCAAUCAUUCAACAGAAGACGAUUGUGGAGGCCUUGAAGAGGACACUCAAGGAACCGUGGUGGACAGAGUAAAGAGGUUAUGGAGACGAGUGGAGAAUGUUGUGAAGACAAGCAAUUGCGUAACUAAGAAUUCGAGGACGAAUUAUAUUAAGGAGGGGAGAAUGUAGAAACCCGUUUAAAAAAAAAUGGUCAGAGUAUCUUUGUGGUGGUCAAGUCGCGGGUGAUAUCGAUCGAGAAAUUUUGAAGUACGAGGUGGGCGAAGAAGUGAUCGUGAGUGAACUAUGAGUCGAAUAAGUUGCUCUGCCAUAGUUAGAAGAUGUCUUAGAUUGGUCAGACGGACGUUUUGGAAGCAUAACAUUUUUGGAAGCACAACAGUUUAGAGGCUCGAUGUUUUAGAAGAAUGACGUUUCUUCAGCACGAAGUUUUCUGCGAAACUUCGUAUCAGCGGAGUAUUAUUUCGAAGACAUUGGAAGCAGGAUGGGAAUUAAGCAUGACGGGAAGCAAGCACGAUGGGAUCAAAGCAUGACGGAAAAACCCGAAGUUGGGCGAAAACCCUAAUUCCGGUAUUAUGGAAUUCUUCGAGGAGGCCGGAGGCUCGGGAAAUAUUUUUCAUCAAGGUCAGAAAUAUUUUGGAGUCUCUGAAGAAUAAUUAGCUCAUCAGAACAGGAGCGGAAAAAUAUUCGGGAUUGAUCGUGGGAGGGUCAAAAAUCGCGUAAACCGACCAAGAAGCUCGAGGUGUCUCUAUGCAUAUGGCCAGGACGUUAUGUCUAUCACAUCAGCAGCUGAGUGUCAACACAAGGAGGAGGUGUAGACAUGCAUGUAAGCUGCACAUGCAGAUUGACAUGUAGAAGCACGAGGUGGAUCGACCAAGCACGAGGUGUCUCCGCGCAUGCAACCGAAGCAUGCGGCCAGCCAUGUGUGUGAUGCUGUGGCGCCUUGCAUGAGUUUCAGUAAUGCAGCCUGACAUCUGGGAGGAGUGGUGGCGCCCUGGAUGAGUCCUGGCCAUGCUGAAGGACAUGUGGAGCAAGAGGUGUUGCCGUGCAUGCAUCCGGAGCCAUGCGGAGCGACACACCGGCGGCAACCAACCUGAAUCUGAUUGGCUGCUGUAUUCUAUAAUUAGGCCACGACCCCAGAUCACUUGAGGACAUCCAGACCUGUCCAAAGCCAGUUAAAAACGUGAGAGAAAAGUAGAAAAAGAAAGCAAGUGAUUCCGAGCUAUUUUGAGAGUUUUAGAGAGUUUUUGAGGUCAGUACUCUACUGAUUUCGAGUCAGCGCCUAGGGAAGGUUCUAUCCAACCGAAGAUCAAUUAAGUGAAGAUCAGUUCAGAUGGGAAGCAAGUCAACGUGGCUAGAGAGGGAGAGAGAAACAAAGUGGCCGACUUAGAGUAUAGUCGAUUCUCACCGAGAAGGCCAGUUCCGUCCAAUCGGCGAUUCUAUAUGAUUGUGACGCGGAAGCUCUGUCCAAAUGAUUUCGUCCAGGCCAGUCAGUUCCUUUGAUGAUCAAGUGGAGGUGAUGUCCAGAUAUAGUUCAGUUCCAUGGUUUCAGAUAAGUCGAAGUUCUGCUCGAUACUCCGCGGGAAGUCCGAAGAACUGUCCAGAAGCUAGAGGAGGUUCUGUCCGAGUCCAGAUCGGUCUGUCGAAGCCUGUCAGUUUCUACAUGGUGAAGCCGAGGUUAUGUCCAAGUCAAGAUCAGUCCAGUCCAGUCCAGUCAAGGCGUCCAUUGGGUUUUGGCCAAGUCCUCUCCGAUCAACCAGCUGCUUAUCGGCAAAGAACACUGUGAGUUGUGAUCAAUUGAUUGCUGACUUGUUUUCAUGCAGGUUCCCGUUACUAGGAAGUUGGAUCAUGGCAGGAGGCCAGGUCUAACUGAGUAACGGUUUGAUUAGUUAAUAGUUGAGGCGCGGUGACCCGAAGGACAGUGGGCCGCGGUGGUUGAAUGUUCCUUCUUCUGGCCUUUGUGGUAGGGAGAUAGGAUAUUGCCGAUAGUGAAGGAGGAACAUAAUGUCACCAGGGCCCGAGUUUGUUAUAUAUAUUAUAUCGGGUUUUGGGUUGUUAAACCUUGGUUUAAAUCGAGUUUGAGUUUGGUAAUGAGCUAGUAAUUAGCAUAAUGCUAGUUAUCUUGCUAUCGUUUACCGCUGCAUAUUUCGGAUAUUGCUUCUUGUUAUUGAAUUGUGUUGUUAGGUGAACCUCUCGCUUUAGAUUGUUUGGGGUGGGAUAGUGAGAGGUUGUAUUUGUUAGAUGGGGAUCAUAAUUCACUGAGUAACAUUAGGUUAUUCAUCCAACUCCAUUGCCUUUUUGCAGGUCGCUUUAAGUAUGGAUGAUCGGAUAGCUUGGUGCUGGACGUUAGGACCGCCGGUGUAGAUUUUCAUGCCUUUUGUAAACGGUAUUGAGUUAUGUGUUUUGUUGGCUCGAUUUGGCAUUAGGCCGAGCCCAGUCUUGAAUUAUUCAAUG
RNAcentral lists this long non-coding RNA (3871 nucleotides) under Brassica napus (rape). RNAcentral describes it as "long non-coding RNA (BNAP_LNC004478)". The record is from RNAcentral. Lineage: Eukaryota; Viridiplantae; Streptophyta; Magnoliopsida; Brassicales; Brassicaceae.